Molecule: ribosomal RNA, 253 nt
Filed under: uncultured bacterium
Lineage: Bacteria
Description: partial 16S ribosomal RNA
Rfam family: Bacterial small subunit ribosomal RNA
Source: RNAcentral
UACGGAGGGUGCAAGCGUUAUCCGGAUUCACUGGGUUUAAAGGGUGCGUAGGUGGGUUGGUAAGUCAGUGGUGAAAUCCCCGAGCUUAACUUGGGAACUGCCAUUGAUACUAUCAGUCUUGAAUACCGUGGAGGUCAGCGGAAUAUGUCAUGUAGCGGUGAAAUGCUUAGAUAUGACAUAGAACACCAAUUGCGAAGGCAGCUGGCUACACGAGUAUUGACACUGAGGCACGAAAGCGUGGGGAGCAAACAGG